GACGAACGCUGGCGGCGUGCUUAACACAUGCAAGUCGAACGGAAAGGCCCUGCUUUUGUGGGGUGCUCGCGUGGCACACGGGUGAGUAACCCGUGAGUCACCUGCGCUUGACUUUGGGAUGACUUCAGGCGACUGGGGCUAAUACCGGAGAGGAGCUCCUGCUGCAGGGUGGGGGUUGGACAGUUUGGGCGGUUGGGGGUGGACUCGGGGCUUAACAGCUUGUUGGUGGGGUAGUUGCUUACCAAGGCUUUGGAGGGUAGCCGGCCUGAGAGGGUGACCAGCGACAUUGGGACUGAGGGACGGACCAGACUCGUAUGGGAGGCAGCAGUGGGGAAUAUUGCACAAUGGGCGGAAGCCUGAUGAAGCAACGCCGCGAGCGGGAUGACGGCCUUCGUGUUGUAAACCGCUGUCGCCUGUGACGAAGCGUGAGUGACGGUAAUGGGUAAAGAAGCACCGGCUAACUACGUG
RNAcentral lists this ribosomal RNA (468 nucleotides) under uncultured bacterium. RNAcentral describes it as "partial 16S ribosomal RNA". It matches the Rfam family "Bacterial small subunit ribosomal RNA", at positions 28 to 507 of the family's 1533-position model. The record is from RNAcentral.